GUCGUACCCGUAUAUAUCCAGAAGGCCAAGCAUACAAGAUGGAGAAAGACUAGCAGAUUAAGGUGACAUUAAAGCACCUUAUGCAUCCUAGGUAUGAAAUUUCCAUUAAUUUGAUAAGAAACCAUCCUCAUAUCAAGUGUAUAUUUCAGCUAAAAUACUAGAAGACUUUUGGAUCUUUACUUGGAGCGAAAAUAGAAGACAAUAAUAAAUAGGAACGGAUCCUUUGCGGUACUCAAAAAAUACCGUAGGGUACUGUGCAUGUUUCGAAAAUGUCUAUCAAAAGAUGAAUGGCUGCACGCACGUAGAAAUACUAAGAAAAGAUAAAUAGAUAAAUCUCAAGGAUAUUUGAAUAGUUUAGAUAAACAUCGCAUGACCAUCCAUCUUUUGAUGGAUGUCCAAUAUAUGCACAGCACCCUGCGGUACUUUUUGAAUACCGCAGA
This 440-nucleotide long non-coding RNA is filed under the name Elaeis guineensis (African oil palm). Its description in RNAcentral is "long non-coding RNA (EGUI_LNC072307)". The record is from RNAcentral. Lineage: Eukaryota; Viridiplantae; Streptophyta; Magnoliopsida; Arecales; Arecaceae.